Long non-coding RNA from Dipodomys ordii (Ord's kangaroo rat), 916 nucleotides. RefSeq lists it as uncharacterized. The transcript is spliced from 2 exons. The record is from RefSeq and is a predicted model, not a curated record. Lineage: Eukaryota; Metazoa; Chordata; Mammalia; Rodentia; Heteromyidae.
UUGAGGGGGGGUUGAUAAGAUUCCCGGGACUUUUUCAUCAUCGCAACCACCCUACAAGCGGAACUAGUUACAGAUGGGCACCCUCCAUGCGCUGGCCUCCCCCUCCCCACCAACUCCCCAGUCCUCCAGUCAGGCCACAAGGCAGAGGUGGGGUGGGCCUUCCAUCACACCUCUUAUUUAUUCUGUUGAUUUCUACACCUGAUUCCCCAGUGGCCACAGGAGUUCUGGACCUUGUGGGCACCCGUGGAGACUAGGGUUGCGUGCCUAAGCCCUGCCAGCAUUGGGCCUAAAGGAGUUCUGACCCCCCACAGGCCCUUUCCUGUUGACUGUCAGAUCCCGAGGAAUGGGACAGAUUAAGAUGCCCAAACCAGCCUGUUGGGUUAGAAAAGCAGCAUCCACACCAAAUGCCAACACAAAGCAGUCCGUACUGAUCAGCUCUAGUCUGCCCCUUGAAGGGGCCACAGCCCACACCUCAUUCCCCCCCUGGCCCACAGCACCUUCAGGGCUCCAAGCUGCCCAGAGCAGGGGGCAGCCUCCCAACACAGCCUCCACAAGCUGGAGGUUCAGGACCUUCCCUCCCUCGUCUCCUUUUAUCACCUACUAAGGACUCUCAUUUAGACAUGGCUUCACCCUGCAAACUACAUCAGCAGUUUAUAGGUUACUAGGGGGAAGCAGAUAUAUAUAUAUAUAAAGAAUAAAACAAGGGGUGUGGGGGGGGAGUGACAGCAGCUUGGUAGGUAUGGUAAGCAGCGGAACAGGCAACACAGGCCCCUAACUAACUUGGGGCAGGGCAGCGAGAGGGCCGGGCCCACUUAGCGUGGUGGCUGGUGCUGUGGGGUCAGAGGCAGAAGCUUCGUGGGCUGGGGGAGGGGGAAGAGGAAUAAUGUCAGUUUCUUUGGGGUUUGGUCCAAAAAAA